Molecule: ribosomal RNA, 253 nt
Filed under: uncultured bacterium
Lineage: Bacteria
Description: partial 16S ribosomal RNA
Rfam family: Bacterial small subunit ribosomal RNA
Source: RNAcentral
CACGUAGGGUGCGAGCGUUGUCCGGAAUUAUUGGGCGUAAAGAGCUCGUAGGCGGUUUGUCGCGUCGGCUGUGAAAUCCCGAGGCUCAACCUCGGGUCUGCAGUCGAUACGGGCAAACUAGAGUAUUGCAGGGGAGACUGGAAUUCCUGGUGUAGCGGUGAAAUGCGCAGAUAUCAGGAGGAACACCGGUGGCGAAGGCGGGUCUCUGGGCAAUAACUGACGCUGAGGAGCGAAAGCGUGGGGAGCGAACAGG